Molecule: long non-coding RNA, 10081 nt
Filed under: Phoenix dactylifera (date palm)
Lineage: Eukaryota; Viridiplantae; Streptophyta; Magnoliopsida; Arecales; Arecaceae
Description: long non-coding RNA (PDAC_LNC010500)
Source: RNAcentral
GAAAAGGGCUACCUAUUGUCAAAGGUCAGCGGGCUUGUGAUGAUGAACCCGAGCAUAGGUCCGUAGGGGAGUCUUGAUGCCCAACACCUUAUGCCAUCUGGUGUGGGAGUUAUUGACUGAAUGCUCGCUACACGGAGGAAUCAUUACAAGAGUAAAAGUGCACAAUUUAUAAAUCUCAAAAAAAAAGAGAAAGAGAAAAUAAAAUUGACCUCGAAAAACACGAUAGUGUGAAAGCCGUCGUUGUAAAAAUUCGAGUAAACUGGAAUAUUACAGAUAAAGCCCAUGAGGUAUUAAAGUAAACAUCCACAACUCUCGAAAUCCUGCAAGAUAGGAUGAUUUUGAAUUAGUGAUUAGGUCUUAUCUGACCAAUUCUUGGAAACUACUAGCUUUAGCAGUAUUUUGGGGAUCUAAAGCCUUAGCUUGUGUAUGGUCCAGAUUUCACCGAGCACCCAAGUAUAAAUUAGUCUUACAACUCUCUAACAGAAACUUAAUAACUUCAACUUAAGUUGCAUACUGACCUAGGAUUUGGGCUGACUUAGUAAUUAAAACUUUGUGUGCUUUUGAAAUUCUUAGCACUUAUGCAUUUGAAAUUAGAUUUUAUAAAACAGUAAAAUAAAUUCUUUAGGUAGAGACAGCAGUUUGUGGGUAUCUGAGCCGGAAAUCCUCACGAGACAAAACUCGUCCACUAGGGCCACCUAGGGGUUUAAAGCCUUAUUGCAUACGGUAAAUGCAAUCGCGAUUCCUGCGAAAGUGAGUUAGUUUUUUAUUUUGCUCGAGGACUAGCAAAAUGUAGGUCUGGGGGUGUGAUAAGUGUUAAAUAAUGCAUAAAUUAAUAUCUUACUCAUAACACUUAUCAUUAUUUUUAUGCACAUAUUUUAAAUUUAAACAUGAGAAAAUAUGUUUUCCUUCAGCAUUUCAUUUUAAAUAAAUUAUUCAAGUUUGAUUGAUUUUCUUUAUUUUAUUGGUCGAGUCUAAUGUAUGCAGGUCGAGUCAAAUUCAUUUGGGAUGAUCCCUGAACCCGAAUGAUACGCACCCCGGUCCAGCCCCACUCCCCUAUUUCUUUCGCAUCCAAUCAAGUUCAAACUUUCGUUACGUUGUACUAUCUAGUCAUUAUCACAUCCGCGAUUAGUUAUUCAAAAUCUUCCUAAAAUUCUACGUGCAAACCGCUUCCACCCGUGACAAUUCCUUCCAGGCAUCACGCACUCCGGAUUGAUCCCAGCUUCUUCCUCUUGCUUCCGGCUCAAACCUCCCGUGUGCGUUUCAUUUGGAUCCAGCAAAUCAUUUUCUCUUCCGUCCGCAUGAACCCAGCAACCGUUAGAUCCCAAGCAGAUCCUCUUCUUCCUCCCGUUCGGAACCAAGACCCAGCCGAAUCCAAACGUCCUCCCAAACCAACCAAUCUUUAUCCAAACUUCCCCAGCUUCACGGAUUAGAACCGGAUCCCAGCUUCUUCCCCAGCCGUAUCCUUCGUCCGUGAUCCACCUUCAUCCCAAUCCGGAUUUCUUCUCAGCCACAUCAAGCUAACAACAGCAUCCUCUUCCCCUGUUUCGAAAUAGCAACCUUCUUCCGGAUUAAUCUCCACGUCACCUCCUCCCAGAUUUCAUCUGCAAUCAUCCCAUGAUUUGGCUUCAUCCCAUUCGAAUCAAACACUCCAUCCAAGCUUCACGGAACAGAGCAUCCUCUCCCGGAUAAGCUCAAGUCCCAGCUGCCAGCCGCCCGCGUCUUGCAUCACUCCCCUGUUCCGAGAUCUUCUCACACACCCACAGCCGAAUGAUCCCAACUAGAUUCCGCUAGCUCCCAGCCUUCCUAUCAUCAUCCAAGCCCCAUCCUCUUCUCCGAAUAACAUCCAAGAUACGUCCCAGUUCCCCUGUUCUGAAUUCAUCUUUAUCCCACGGAUCAACCAUCAACCGAAUCAUCCCAGCAUCCAAACCAACCGAGAUCCUUCUUUCUCCCAUGGGAUAAGCACCAAAUCCAGCAGGACUUCAUCUUUUGGAUCAGCUUCCUCGGCUUCAUCCUCCCGAGCUUCACGACAUCCAAGUUUUUCUUUCCAACUUAUGGAUCAACUCCAUUCUUCCGAAUCCCUGCAUCACAGAAUAGAGUAUCCCAACCUCCUUCCGGAUUCGCCAUCUCAGCGGUUCUCCGUGAUUCAUCCAUAUCCCGCGCCCGAGUUGAAGCUCCCUCCUCUGCGUGUCCGGAUGAAAGCCAGCACAGAUCACGCACACCAAGCUUCUAUCCGUUCAGCCUCCGGUAUCCACGGAUAAGCUUAAAUCCCUUGCUUCGCGUCUGGAAUCCAGCAGCAUCACGAGCGUAUCCUCACAUCUCGUUCACUUCCCACAGAUAAGUCCAAGCUUAUUGAGGUGGGCAGCCUAUAAAAGGCCAAGCCAGGAAACAGAGAAGGCAUUCCUCCUUCCCCACCGGGGGGCAUUCCCUCUUCCCCCACCGGGGGCUGCUCCCAUCAUCACUUCUCAGANNNNNNNNNNNNNNNNNNNNNNNNNNNNNNNNNNNNNNNNNNNNNNNNNNNNNNNNNNNNNNNNNNNNNNNNNNNNNNNNNNNNNNNNNNNNNNNNNNNNNNNNNNNNNNNNNNNNNNNNNNNNNNNNNNNNNNNNNNNNNNNNNNNGCUGCUGCCGCCGUCCACCACUGCAUGGAAGCUUGAGCUCUUCUCCAGGGCUGGAUGCAGCCCUAACAAAGGGACACGGGUUUUAUAUUUUAUUUUAUAUUCUUGGGGUUGUAUGAACUUAUUGUUUUUAAUGGAUAUCUUCUUUUGAAUCAUAUUUAAUUUCUGUGAUUUUAAGUAUGAUGUUCGUACAAGUGUUCUUCAUGAUCACUAAGUAAAUAUAAGAUAGUCCAUGCUUAGGGAAGAUGCGAUGUGCUGCCACCUUAGAUUAGGAUAGACGUUUCAUGCCUACUGAAGAUGGAUUAUGCCCAAAUUACUUUUGUGAAUUUUUAUUUAAAUGCUUAUUAGGCUUGUAGCCAAUUUGCAUGUUAAUCCAAGAACGAAAUAAAAUAUAAAUAACCCUUGUUCCGAUGUUAGUGGUGAAUUCCUUGCCCUAGGUUCUCUUAAACUGAUAUCCCUUUAAUUGCAUUUUCUUUUAUUAAAUUUCUUAGUUUAAUAGUCUUCACAAAUUCAUCAUUUUAAAUAUUUUUAUUAUUAAAGAAAAACAACUGUACCCCAAUCCCUGUGGAUCGAUACCCGUAAUCACUAUCCUACCAGAUACGUGCUAUUGCGUGGUCUUUAAAGUUGACUAUCAAUUUUUAGCGCCGUCGCUGGGGAUUGUUAGCAUAGUUGUUUUUCUUUUCAUUAAAAAAAAACUUUAAAAAAACUUUCAAAAAAUAUAUAUAUCUAAAAUAAAAUAAAAAUAUUUUCUAUUUUUGUUACUUUUCUUAUCUUCUUUCUCUCUCUUACUAAUUUUUGAUUUUUAUUUGAUCAGGAAUCGAAGAGGAAGUCUAGGAUGAUCAAAAAGGGAACGGCUGAAAAAGAAAUGCUGUAGAGGUUUGCUUUUAAAAAAAAAAUUGCUAGGGAAAUUCUCUUUGGUAACAUCUAAAUCUUUCUUAUUUAAAUUGAUUCCCAAUUAGCCUGAAAUUUUGUGGUGAUUGUUUGAUUUUAAUUUUAGUAAAAGUGUGAAUGCAUGCUUGAUACACAUACAUCAAUUAAUCCGCACAUAGUAAGGGCAAUCACCGCAACAAGAUAAGAACUAGAUUUCAUCACCAGAUUCUUGCCCAAAUUAGGUAAAUCAAUUCUCACAUAGCUAUCACGUUAAUUAAAAUCAAUUAGACGUUGGCCUCUAGGGACAUUCGAGCUCAAUAGGACGAAGAUCACUGAAAGUUGCACCAAUUUCGCUCUGUGGCUCAGUUGAUGUCUAGGCAAGCUUUGUCCCAAGGGAGACAGUUCAUCUGUUCGAGGCAAGUGGUUUUUAAGUGGGACCUUUGCAACGCAUCGUGACCCCCCCACUUACCUGGGAGCUUACCUGGUCAACUUCGUUCAUUAGACCGGAUUGGAGGCUUAGGUGCCCUCUUCAAACCAGUUAGGAGCUGUCUAGUGAUUUUAGGGCAAAUACAAGGAUUUGACGUAUUUUUCUUUUAGUGCAUGCUUGACUUGACUGAUCAGAAGAGUAUAACUCCUUGCUCGACAAUCAGUCUUCCACAAAUUUUCUUCCUUGGAGAACUCGGCAUGAAUCCGGUAUAAUUUGAUAAGGAUGCGCUCCGUCUGGCUGAAGACGUUAAACUUAGCACUUGUUGGGAGGCAACCCAAUUCUCAUAGAUUAUUUUUGCAUAUUUUCUUGUCGCAUUUUUUUUUUCUAGGAGUCCUCAUAUUACUGAUGCAACUAAGGUACAAUGCUUCUAUCCUCCAUAUGCAUCAUAUUUUCAUCCCAAAUAAAAAAUAUAUAAAAAAUAAAAAUCAUAAUAUAAUAUCUCAAAAAAUAAAAAAAAUUAAAAAAAAAUAUUGAGGUCAAUGUCUGAUCUAGGUUGGGGAGUAUAGGAUUCGAAUUUUUGAAGAAAUUUUUCGCAUUUUCGUAUUUUUGAAUAAAUUUUUCGAAAAAAAAACCUAAUUUCUAUGCCUUAGUGCUGAAAUGAUAAAUACACAAAGUAUAUAAAAUCUAAAAAUCCCAAUGAUUUGUCAGGAAUAAGACAAUUUGAGUUCUUUUCAUUAAAAGUUCUUUAGUGAGUGGUAAGAUAAUUUGUACUUUGGAAUUUCACAAUACACAUGGCCUGCACUUCUAAGGGUUAGGUUCAACAUUAUGUUGUUAAGUCUGGUAGCAACCUUGAGUCCUGAUGAAUCAUUCCUAUCUAAUUCACUAUUAUUCCAUAUUUAUUAAAAAAAAUAGUCAGGUACAUCGAAAAGGGCUACCUAUUGUCAAAGGUUAGCGGGCUUGUAUGAGGAACCCGAGCAUAGGUUCGUAGGGGAGUCUUGAUGCCCAACACCUUAUGCCAUCUGAUGUGGAAGUGUUGACUGAAUACUCGCUAUACGGAGGAAUCAUUGCAAGAGUAAAAGUACGUAAUUUAUUUAUAAAUAAAAAAAAAAGAAAAAAAAAAGAGAAAAUAAUAUUGACCUUGAAAAAAGAUAGUGUGAAAGCCGUCGCUAUAAAAAUUCGAGUAAACUGUAAUAUUACAGAUAAAGCCCAUGAGGUAUUAAAGUAAACAUCCACAACUCUCGAAAUCCUGCAAGAUAGGAUGAUUUUGAAUCAGUGAUUAGGUCUUAUCUGACCAAUUCUUGGAAACUACCAGCUUUAGCAGUAUUUUGGGGAAUCUAAAACCUUAGCUUGUGUUUGGUCCAAAUAUCACCAAGCACCCAAGUAUAAAUAAGCCUUACAACUCUCUAACAGAAACUUAAUGACUUCAACUUAAGUUGCAUACUGACUUAGGAUUUGGGCUGACUUAGUAAUUAAAACUUUGUGUGCUUUUGAAAUUAUUGGCACUUAUGCAUUUGAAAUUAGAUUUUAUAAAACGAUAAAAUAAAUUCUUUGGGUAGAGACAACAGUUUGUGGGUAUCUGAGCCGGAAACCCUCACGAGACAAAACUCGUCCACUAGGGCCACCUAGGGGUUUAAAGCCUUAUUGCAUACGGUAAAUGCAAUCGCGAUUCCUGCGAAAGUGAGUUUGUUUUUAUUUCGCUCGAUGACUAGCAAAAUGUAGGUUGGGGGUGUGAUAAGUGCUAAAUAAUGCAUAAAUUAAUAUCUUAUUUAUAGCACUUAUCAUUAUUUUAAUUCACAUAUCUUGUAAAUUUAACUAAAAAAAUGUAUUACCUUCAUCAUUGCAUUUUAAAGGUAAUUCAAGUUUGAUUUGAUUAUUUAUUGAUUAAGCUUAAUGCAUGCAGGUCGAGUCGAGCUCAAUUAGGUAAAGCCUAAACGGACACUACAUCAUUUCACAAUUUCACAUUCUCCUGAGUCGACUCCAAGAACUCUUUUCCAAAAUCCAGUGCUUUCCAAGUUCACCUAAAUUUCGUCCCACUCAUUCGAAUUCUCCUGUUUUAAUAUUAAAAAUAAUACAAUCCCUUCAAUCAAUUAUUUCUCAGAUCUCAAAGCAUACUAUCUUAGUUGCACAGAUUGCAAAGCCUCACCCCUUCAAUCCAUUUCAACUUCCAACGAAUAAUCCCAGAUCUCCUCCCAGCCAUUCCGCUUCCCUCCACGUCAUUUCUUUAGGAACAGAGCCAUAUGUACAGGAUAAGCUCUCAUAUCCAAACUUCCCCUUCUUCCGGAUCGUUCUCACAUUCAUUCCAUUCGAAACUCAAAGCUUCUCCCGGAUCACUCCCUCUCAACCGAAUCUAGCUUUCCAUCACCCACGGAUAAGCCCAAGCCAGCCUUCAUCUCAUCCGCGAUUAACUCCCAGCUUCAUCCCAUUCAAAUUCCUUCUCCUAAGCUUCUCCAGCUAGAUUCCCUCCACAGAUGAACAUCUCCCAACGUCCAGCUUCAUCUUCCCGAGAUCCCAACUCCAAGCGCCCACAUCUUCGGCAGUCCAAAGAACAAAUCCAAACCUCCACGAACAGAGUACGUCCGCAGCUUCAUCCUCCCGAUUCCUCCGGCACCUCAUUUAAGCCGUGAACAGCACCCCAGCAUCUUCCGGAUGAGCAUUCCAUCUUCUUCUGACUUCUUCUCAUCCACAAAUCCGAACCAAAUGCAUAACAGAGCGCCCUUAUCCCGAGGAACAGACCCGUAUGUGAUCUUCUCCCCUGUUUCACGCAUGGCCAGCCGUUCCCAAGCUUCACAGAAGCUUCAUCUAAACUGUCAACCGAAUCCAAGUUUUUCCCCUGUUUCGGAAUCAAGUCCCAAUAUCCCACGGAACAGCUCCUCCCGCGAUGCUUGCCAUACAAACUUCUAUCUUUAUCCAACACCCAAGCUGCCGAAUCCCAUGGAACAUCUCCCCUGUUCCCAACCGAAUCGAGUUCAUCCUCCCGUGAUCCACUCAUCUCCCAGCUGCAUCCAUUUGAUUCCAGCUCCAUCCUUGCGAGUUUCACGGCAUCCAAACAUCCCCUGUUUCUCCACGACCAGGCUUCUUCCACGUCCACCAGCGAGGGAUUCUUCCCAGCCAAAGGAAAUCAAACAUCGAACCGAGCCAUAUCUAAGCACCUUCAUUCCGUUUUACUCCCAGCGUCUGCAUAUCCAUGGGAUAAACUCAAAUCCCAGCUUCUCUUCCGGUUUGAUCCCAUGAAAUCGCUAACGUCUCAGCUCAUCUUCCGACGCGUCCGGCUUCACGCGUCUUCUCCUUUGAUCCGAACCACAGCAGUCCACGAAUCAGGCCAAGCUUCAUCCCAACGGCAAAGGGUUCAUCCUUAUCUACAUUCGAAACAGAAGAGGGGAGUCGCAGCCUAUAAAAGGCCCCAGGGUGAACAGAGGAGGAUUCAUUGACGACCGGGAGAAGAAGAUCUCGGGAGAGAGGGAGUUCCCACCGAAGUAAAAAGGAAAGAGAGGCUUUUGGGUAUUGUGGGAAGAACUUCCCACGGAAAAAGAAAAAAAAAUGAAAUGCUAAGGGAGUCCCACGGGAGAGGAAAAAGCCGGAAGGAAGAAAUGAGAGCCCGCUGCUGUGCCACUGCUGCUGUCGCCCACGACUUCAUUGGAAGGCUGAUCUCCUCUCUAGGGUUGGAUGCAGCCCUAACAAAGGAACACGGGUUUUAUAUUUUAUUUUAUAUUCUUGGGGUUGUAUGAACUUAUUAUUAUUUUUAAUGGAUAUCUUCUUCUGAAUCAUAUUUAAUUUUUGUGAUUUUAAGUAUGGUGUUCGUACAACUAUUCUUCAUGAUCAUUAAAGUAAAAAUAAGAUAGUUCAUGCUUAAGGAAGAUGCGAUGUGCUACCACCUUAGAUUAGGAUAGACAUUUCAUGCUAACUAAAGAUGGACUAUGCCUAAAUUGCUUUUGUGAAAUUUUUAUUCGAAUGCUUAUUAGGCUUGUAGCCAAUUUGCAUGUUAAUUCAAGAACGAAAUAAAUUAUAAAUAACCCUUGUUCCGAUGUUAGUGGUGAAUUCCUUGCCCUAGGUUCCCUCAAACUGAUAUCAUUUUAAUUGCAUUUUUUUAUUAAAUUUCUUAGUUUAAUUUUCUUCACAAACUCUUCUUUUUAAUUUUCUUUUAAGAAAAAUAACUAUACCCCAAUCCCUAUGGAUCGAUACCCGUAAUCACUAUCUUACUAGAUAUGUGCUAUUGCGUGGUCUUUAAAGUUGACUAUCAAUUUUUGGCGCCGUUGCCGGGGAUUGUUAGCAUAGUUAUUUUUCUUUUUAUUAAAAAAAACUUUCAAAAAAAAACUUUCAAAAAAUAUAUAUAUCUAAAAUAAAAUAAAAAUAUUUUCUAUUUUUGUUACUUUUCUUAUCUCCUUUCUCUCUCUUACUAAUUUUUGAUUUUUAUUUGAUCAGGAAUCGAUGAGGAAGUCCGGGAUGAUUAAAAAGGGAACUGCUGAAAAAAGAAUGCUGUAGAGGUUUGCUUUUAAAAAAAAUUGCUGGGAAAAUUCUCUUUGGUAACAUCUAAACCUUUCUUAUUUAAAUUGAUUCCCAAUUAGCCUGAAAUUUUGUGGUGAUUGUUUGAUUUUAAUUUUAGUAAAAGUGUGAAUGCAUGCUUGAUACACAUACAUCAAUUAAUCCGCACAUAGUAAGGGCAAUCACCCCAACAAGAUAAGAACUGGAUUUCAUCACCAGAUUCUUACCCAAAUUAGGUGAAUCAAUUCUCACAUAGCUAUCACGUUAAUUAAAAUCAAUUAGACGUUGGCCCCUAGAGACAUUCGAGCUCAAUAGGACGAAGAUCACUGAAAGUUGCACCAAUUUCGCUCUGUGGCUCAGUUGAUGUCUAGGCAAGCUUUGUCCCAAGGGAGACAGUUCAUCUGUUCGAGGCAAGUGGUUUUUAAGUGGGACCUUUGCAACGCAUCGUGACCCCCCCACUUACCUGGGAGCUUACCUGGUCAACUUCGUUCAUUAGACCGGAUUGGAGGCUUAGGUGUCCUCUUCAAACCAGUUAGGAGCUGUCUAGUGAUUUUAGGGCAAAUACAAGGAUUUGACGUAUUUUUCUUUUAGUGCAUGCUUGACUUGACUGAUCAGAAGAGUAUAACUCCUUGCUCGACAAUCAGUCUUCCACAAAUUUUCUUUCUUGGAGAACUCGGCAUGAAUCCGGUAUAAUUCGAUAAGGAUGCGCUCCGUCUGGCUGAAGACGUUAAACUUAGUACUUGUUGGGAGGCAACCCAAUUCUCAUAGAUUAUUUUUGCAUAUUUUCUUGUCGCAUUUUUUUUUCAGGAGUCCUCAUAUUACUGAUGCAACUAAGGUACAAUGCUUCUAUCCUCCAUAUGCAUCAUAUUUUCAUCCCAAAUAAAAAAAUAUAUAAAAAAUAAAAAUCAUAAUAUAAUAUCUCAAAAAAAUAAAAAAAUAAAAAAAUAAAAAAAACAUUGAGGACAAUGUCUGAUCUAGGUUGGGGGGUAUAGGAUUCGAAUUUUUGAAGAAAUUUUUCGCAUUUUCAUAUUUUUGAAUAAAUUUUUAGAAAAAAAACCUAAUUUCUAUGCCUUAGUGCUGAAAUGAUAAAUACACAAAGUAUAUAAAAUCUAAAAAGCCCAAUGAUUUGUCAGGAAUAAGACAAUUUGAGUUCUUUUCAUUAAAAGUUCUUUUAGUGAGUGGUAAGAUAAUUUGUACUUUGGAAUUUCACAAUACACAUGGCCUGCACUUCUAAGGGUUAGGUUCAACAUUAUGUUGUUAAGUCUGGUAGCAACCUUGAGUCCUGAUGAAUCAUUCCUAUCUAAUUCACUAUUAUUCCAUAUUUAUUAAAAAAAAUAGUCAGGUACAUCGAAAAGGGCUACCUAUUGUCAAAGGUCAGCGGGCUUGUAUGAGGAACCUGAGCAUAGGUCCAUAGGGGAGUCUUGAUGCCCAACACCUUAUGCCAUCUGGUGUGGGAGUGUUGACUGAAUGCUCGCUAUACGGAGGAAUCAUUACAAGAGUAAAAGUACGUAAUUUAUUUAUAAUUUAAAAAAAAAUAAUAAUAUUGACCUUGAAAAAAGACGAUAGUGUGAAAGCCGUCGCUGUAAAAAUUUGAGUAAACUGGAAUAUUACAGAUAAAGCCCAUGAGGUAUUAAAGUAAGCAUCCACAACUCACGAAAUCCUGCAAGAUAGGAUAAUUUUGAAUCAGUGAUUAG